UGGGGAAUAUUGGGCAAUGGAGGGAACUCUGACCCAGCAACGCCGCGUGAAGGAAGAAGGUUUUCGGAUUGUAAACUUCUGUCGCGAGGGACGAAGAAUGACUGUACCUCGUAAGAAAGCCCCGGCUAACUACGUGCCAGCAGCCGCGGUAAUACGUAGGGGCAAGCGUUGUCCGGAAUGACUGGGCGUAAAGGGAGUGUAGGCGGCACUAUAAGUUAGAUGUGAAAGCCCGCAGCUUAACUGCGGAACUGCAUCUAAAACUGUAGAGCUUGAGUGCAGGAGAGGUAAGUGGAAUUCCUAGUGUAGCGGUGGAAUGCGUAGAUAUUAGGAGGAACACCAGAGGCGAAGGCGACUUACUGGACUGUAACUGACGUUGAGGCUCGAAAGCGUGGGGAGCAAACAGGAUUAGAUACC
RNAcentral lists this ribosomal RNA (414 nucleotides) under uncultured bacterium. RNAcentral describes it as "bacterial SSU rRNA". It matches the Rfam family "Bacterial small subunit ribosomal RNA", at positions 355 to 786 of the family's 1533-position model. The record is from RNAcentral.